Molecule: ribosomal RNA, 429 nt
Filed under: Chloroflexota bacterium
Lineage: Bacteria; Bacillati; Chloroflexota
Description: Chloroflexi bacterium partial 16S ribosomal RNA
Rfam family: Bacterial small subunit ribosomal RNA
Source: RNAcentral
UGGGGAAUAUUGCACAAUGGGCGCAAGCCUGAUGCAGCCAUGCCGCGUGUGUGAAGAAGGCCUUCGGGUUGUAAAGCACUUUCAGCGGGGAGGAAGGCGUUAAGGUUAAUAACCUUGGCGAUUGACGUUACCCGCAGAAGAAGCACCGGCUAACUCCGUGCCAGCAGCCGCGGUAAUACGGAGGGUGCAAGCGUUAAUCGGAAUUACUGGGCGUAAAGCGCACGCAGGCGGUCUGUCAAGUCGGAUGUGAAAUCCCCGGGCUCAACCUGGGAACUGCAUUCGAAACUGGCAGGCUAGAGUCGUGUAGAGGGGGGUAGAAUUCCAGGUGUAGCGGUGAAAUGCGUAGAGAUCUGGAGGAAUACCGGUGGCGAAGGCGGCCCCCUGGUCAAAGACUGACGCUCAGGUGCGAAAGCGUGGGGAGCAAACAGG